CGCGAAUUCGCCCUUCGGGGUGCAGCAGGCGCGAAAACUUUACAAUGCUGGAAACAGCGAUAAGGGGACCUCGAGUGCCAGGUUACAAAUCUGGCUGUCGUGAUGCCUAAAAAGCAUUGCAUAGCAAGGGCCGGGCAAGACCGGUGCCAGCCGCCGCGGUAACACCGGCGGCUCGAGUGGUAACCGUUAUUAUUGGGUCUAAAGGGUCUGUAGCCGGCCGGAUAAGUCUCUUGGGAAAUCCAGCAGCUCAACUGUUGGGCUUUCAGGAGAUACUGUCUGGCUCGAGGCCGGGAGAGGUGAGAGGUACUUCAGGGGUAGGGGUGAAAUCUUGUAAUCCUUGAAGGACCACCAGUGGCGAAGGCGUCUCACCAGAACGGACCUGACGGCAAGGGACGAAAGCUAGGGGCACGAACCGGAUUAGAUACCCGGGUAGUCCUAGCCGUAAACGAUACUCGCUAGGUGUCGGCCACGGUGCGACCGUUGUCGGUGCCGUAGGGAAGCCGUGAAGCGAGCCACCUGGGAAGUACGGCCGCAAGGCUGAAACUUAAAGGAAUUGGCGGGGGAGCAC
Molecule: ribosomal RNA, 568 nt
Filed under: uncultured archaeon
Lineage: Archaea
Description: bacterial SSU rRNA
Rfam family: Archaeal small subunit ribosomal RNA
Source: RNAcentral